This 76-nucleotide transfer RNA is filed under the name Candidatus Shapirobacteria bacterium RIFOXYB1_FULL_38_38. RNAcentral describes it as "tRNA-Ala". It matches the Rfam family "tRNA". From Rfam's summary of the family: Transfer RNA (tRNA) molecules are approximately 80 nucleotides in length. Their secondary structure includes four short double-helical elements and three loops (D, anti-codon, and T loops). The record is from RNAcentral. RNAcentral also lists the same sequence under 1 other name. Lineage: Bacteria; Candidatus Shapironibacteriota.
GGGCCUGUAGCGUAGUUGGUAGCGCGUCCCCAUGGCAUGGGGAAGGUCAGGGGUUCGAGUCCCCUCAGGUCCACAA